Molecule: ribosomal RNA, 231 nt
Filed under: uncultured bacterium
Lineage: Bacteria
Description: partial 16S ribosomal RNA
Rfam family: Bacterial small subunit ribosomal RNA
Source: RNAcentral
CGGGUGAGUAACGCGUGGAUAACCUGCCUCACACAGGGGGAUAACAGUUGGAAACGACUGCUAAUACCGCAUAAGCGCACAGCGCCGCAUGGUGCAGUGUGAAAAACUCCGGUGGUAUGAGAUGGACCCGCGUCUGAUUAGGUAGUUGGUGGGGUAACGGCCUACCAAGCCGACGAUCAGUAGCCGACCUGAGAGGGUGACCGGCCACACUGGGACUGAGACACGGCCCAA